RNAcentral lists this ribosomal RNA (500 nucleotides) under uncultured bacterium. RNAcentral's name for it is "partial 16S ribosomal RNA". It matches the Rfam family "Bacterial small subunit ribosomal RNA", at positions 30 to 523 of the family's 1533-position model. The record is from RNAcentral.
AUUGAACGCUGGCGGCAUGCCUUACACAUGCAAGUCGAACGGCAGCACGGGAGCAAUCCUGGUGGCGAGCGGCGAACGGGUGAGUAAAGUAUCGGAACGUGCCCAGUCGUGGGGGAUAACGUAGCGAAAGUUACGCUAAUACCGCAUACGAUCUAUGGAUGAAAGCGGGGGAUCGCAAGACCUCGCACGAUUGGAGCGGCCGAUAUCAGAUUAGGUAGUUGGUGGGGUAAAGGCUCACCAAGCCGACGAUCUGUAGCUGGUCUGAGAGGACGACCAGCCAAACUGGGACUGAGACACGGCCCAGACUCCUACGGGAGGCAGCAGUGGGGAAUUUUGGACAAUGGGCGAAAGCCUGAUCCAGCCAUGCCGCGUGCAGGAUGAAGGCCUUCGGGUUGUAAACUGCUUUUGUACGGAACGAAAAGGUUUGGCCUAAUAAGCUGAGCUCAUGACGGUACCGUAAGAAUAAGCACCGGCUAACUACGUGCCAGCCGCCGCAGUAA